Long non-coding RNA from Alligator sinensis (Chinese alligator), 252 nucleotides. RefSeq lists it as uncharacterized. The transcript is spliced from 3 exons. The record is from RefSeq and is a predicted model, not a curated record. Lineage: Eukaryota; Metazoa; Chordata; Crocodylia; Alligatoridae.
UGUCCCACCUCUCAGCUAAGUGUGCUAAACAGUCCCUCUCAUCUUUCUGCUUUGCAUCUCAAUGAUGAUUAAAAAGCAAGGAAGAAGAGAGACUGAAGGAGAGCCAACCACCUGUAUAGCAGGUUAUUUUGGUCUGCUACGUCAGCAAAGGAGAAAAUGGCUGUGCUUUUCUAGGUCCAACUGAAACAGAAGAGGCUUGAAAGUGUGGAAGACUGUGGUAACUGGAAAACCUGUGUAAUUAUAACAUCCUGA